UAAUUGUUAAAAAGUCAUAUAUUUUGUUUCUUUUUCUAAUUUUAAGUAAAUCAAGGCAGAGCGGAAUACAUCAACUAAGGGUUUAGGUUUGGGCAGGCAUUCUUUUAAAGUAAAGAAAUGAGUUUUAAUAAUUAUUUAAAUAGGGUUUAAAAUUAUUUUAAUUUAUGUUUAAAAAAUUAAAUUACACUAGAUUUAAAGGUGAAAGAGUCAAAAUGUCUCUCGUUAAAAAUGAUUAUUAGUUAGUUUCAUUACUGGAACUUCUACUGACAACUUCAUUACUGACAGCUUCUAAUCAUUCACUAAAAGCCAAGACAAAAGAUUUUGCUAUAAAUAAAGUUUGUUUAUAUCUCAGUAUAAUUUUUUAUCUUAGGUGUUGCUAAUAGGUUUCCUCAUUAAACAGAUUGUAAAGUUGUAUAGAUCAAUCAAUUAAAGUUGUAUAGAUCAAUCAAUCUUUAUAGCCACUGCAAAAAUGAUAUCAUAAUAAAGAACUGAGUAUAUACGCAACUUAAUAUUAACAAUAUUGAAUGCUGCUUUUAAAACAGCAUACGUAGUAUCACAAUUGGUUAUAAAAAACAAUUAAAUUGAUUUCCAUUUAAUACAUGUGGUGUAUUUUUUCCGUAUUUUUUAAUUCUAAUAUAUUUUUUUUAGAUUAAUUAGAUGACGUGUUUGUCCAAUAUAGACCUGCAGCUGAAAACUAUUAAAAAAUAGUUAUGUUUUGUUAAUUUGUUAAUAAAUAUGUAAAUGAAAAUAUCUUUCAUUUCACAAAUCUAUUAGGCAUUUUUUUGAAGCCACAAUCCACAAUGUUUUGUAUUUUAUAUAUGUGAAUGAAAGUCUAUGUGAAUGUUUUGUAUUUUAUCUAUGUGAACGAAAGUCUAUGUGAAUGAUUUGUAUUUUAUCUAUGUGAACGAAAGUCUAAGUGAAUGAUUUGUAUUUUAUCUAUGUGAAUGAAAGUCUAUGUGAA
Molecule: long non-coding RNA, 961 nt
Organism: Hydra vulgaris (swiftwater hydra)
Lineage: Eukaryota; Metazoa; Cnidaria; Hydrozoa; Anthoathecata; Hydridae
Source: RefSeq, a predicted model, not a curated record